GCCAUAAAUAAUCUCAUCUUCAAUGCCUCCAUUGUUGAAUUUUUCUUGAAGAUAUAUGUUAAACCAAAAAGUUUUCCAAGAAAAUUUGUGGAGGCAAAAAGAAAAUGUCACACAAGGGCAGGCAAGUGGAGAGUGGUACAAAUUAAGGAAAUGUCGACACUUUAUAUAUAGGGAUACCGGAGGAGACAAAAGUAAAGGUGGGGACUAGAAUUAAGGGCAGCCUGCCCGAGGAGACAGUUGAUACAAAGCCACAUGGCACAUGGGUAUUGCCUCUUCUUUUUUUUUUUUUUCAAAUUUGGACAAGAGUGGCUGGCUGCCCGUUGGUUAGGACAGGUUGUCUUCGAUUUUUGUUGGUGCCAUACAGCUGUUUGCCAACUGUUUCUUGUUUGGCCUUUCUUUGAGGGCCUCCACUCCGUGAGCACCAAUUCUUCUUUAAAAAGAGGCUAUUUUUGGAAUUUUGAAACUUUCAUCACCCAAUUUUAGCAUAU
RNAcentral lists this long non-coding RNA (488 nucleotides) under Ricinus communis (castor bean). RNAcentral's name for it is "long non-coding RNA (RCOM_LNC001891)". Lineage: Eukaryota; Viridiplantae; Streptophyta; Magnoliopsida; Malpighiales; Euphorbiaceae. The record is from RNAcentral.